Small nuclear RNA from Ochotona princeps (American pika), 107 nucleotides. NCBI's taxonomy places the organism in Eukaryota, Metazoa, Chordata, Mammalia, Lagomorpha, Ochotonidae. The record is from RefSeq and is a predicted model, not a curated record.
GUGCUCGCUUCGGCAGCACAUACACUAAAAUUGGAAUGAUACAGAGAAGAUUAGCAUGGCCCCUGCACAACGAUGACACACAAAUUUGCGAAGCAUUCCAUAUUAAA